This 450-nucleotide ribosomal RNA is filed under the name uncultured bacterium. RNAcentral's name for it is "partial 16S ribosomal RNA". It matches the Rfam family "Bacterial small subunit ribosomal RNA", at positions 354 to 796 of the family's 1533-position model. The record is from RNAcentral.
GUGGGGAAUAUUGGACAAUGGGCGCAAGCCUGAUCCAGCCAUGCCGCGUGUGUGAAGAAGGCCUUCGGGUUGUAAAGCACUUUUGUCCGGGAAGAAAUCUUCCAGGUUAAUACCCUGGGAGGCUGACGGUACCGGAAGAAUAAGCACCGGCUAACUUCGUGCCAGCAGCCGCGGUAAUACGAAGGGUGCAAGCGUUACUCGGAAUUACUGGGCGUAAAGCGUGCGUAGGUGGUUCGUUAAGUCUGCCGUGAAAGCCCCGGGCUCAACCUGGGAAUGGCGGUGGAUACUGGCGGGCUAGAGUGCGGUAGAGGGUGGUGGAAUUCCCGGUGUAGCGGUGAAAUGCGUAGAGAUCGGGAGGAACAUCCGUGGCGAAGGCGGCCAUCUGGACCAGCACUGACACUGAGGCACGAAAGCGUGGGGAGCAAACAGGAUUAGAAACCCGAGUAGUCC